RNAcentral lists this ribosomal RNA (654 nucleotides) under uncultured bacterium. Its description in RNAcentral is "bacterial SSU rRNA". It matches the Rfam family "Bacterial small subunit ribosomal RNA", at positions 44 to 715 of the family's 1533-position model. The record is from RNAcentral.
AUGCUUAACACAUGCAAGUCGAACGAGAAAGUGGAGCAAUCCAUGAGUAAAGUGGCGACCGGGUGAGUAACACGUGACUAACCUACCCUUGAGUGGGGGAUAACCUCGGGAAACCGGGGCUAAUACCGCAUAACAUCUUCGGGAUGAAAAGCUGAAGAUCAAAGGAGCAAUUCGCUUUUGGAGGGGGUCGCGGCUGAUUAGCUAGUUGGUGGGGUAACGGCCCACCAAGGCGGUGAUCGGUAGCCGGCCUGAGAGGGCGCACGGCCACACUGGAACUGAAACACGGUCCAGACUCCUACGGGAGGCAGCAGUGGGGAAUUUUGCGCAAUGGGGGAAACCCUGACGCAGCAACGCCGCGUGGAGGAUGAAGCCCUUUGGGGUGUAAACUCCUUUCGACCAAGACGAUUAUGACGGUACUGGUGGAAGAAGCACCGGCUAACUCUGUGCCAGCAGCCGCGGUAAUACAGAGGGUGCAAGCGUUGUUCGGAAUUAUUGGGCGUAAAGGGCGCGUAGGCGGUGCGGUAAGUCACCUGUGAAAUCUCUGGGCUUAACUCAGAGCUUGCAGGCGAAACUGCCGUGCUGGAGUGUGGGAGAGGUGCGUGGAAUUCCCGGUGUAGCGGUGAAAUGCGUAGAUAUCGGAAGGAACACCAGUGG